RNAcentral lists this ribosomal RNA (1368 nucleotides) under uncultured bacterium. Its description in RNAcentral is "bacterial SSU rRNA". It matches the Rfam family "Bacterial small subunit ribosomal RNA", at positions 28 to 1381 of the family's 1533-position model. The record is from RNAcentral.
GACGAACGCUGGCGGCGUGCCUAAUACAUGCAAGUAGAACGCUGAAGAGAGGAGCUUGCUCUUCUUGGAUGAGUUGCGAACGGGUGAGUAACGCGUAGGUAACCUGCCUUGUAGCGGGGGAUAACUAUUGGAAACGAUAGCUAAUACCGCAUAACAAUGGAUGACACAUGUCAUUUAUUUGAAAGGGGCAAUUGCUCCACUACAAGAUGGACCUGCGUUGUAUUAGCUAGUAGGUGAGGUAACGGCUCACCUAGGCGACGAUACAUAGCCGACCUGAGAGGGUGAUCGGCCACACUGGGACUGAGACACGGCCCAGACUCCUACGGGAGGCAGCAGUAGGGAAUCUUCGGCAAUGGGGGCAACCCUGACCGAGCAACGCCGCGUGAGUGAAGAAGAUUUUCGGAUCGUAAAGCUCUGUUGUAAGUCAAGAACGAGUGUGAGAGUGGAAAGUUCACACUGUGACGGUAGCUUACCAGAAAGGGACGGCUAACUACGUGCCAGCAGCCGCGGUAAUACGUAGGUCCCGAGCGUUGUCCGGAUUUAUUGGGCGUAAGGCGAGCGCAGGCGGUUUGAUAAGUCUGAAGUUAAGGCUGUGGCUCAACCAUAGUUCGCUUUGGAAACUGUCAAACUUGAGUGCAGAAGGGGAGAGUGGAAUUCCAUGUGUAGCGGUGAAAUGCGUAGAUAUAUGGAGGAACACCGGUGGCGAAAGCGGCUCUCUGGUCUGUAACUGACGCUGAGGCUCGAAAGCGUGGGGAGCGAGCAGGAUUAGAUACCCUGGUAGUCCACGCCGUAAACGAUGAGUGCUAGGUGUUGGAUCCUUUCCGGGAUUCAGUGCCGCAGCUAACGCAUUAAGCACUCCGCCUGGGGAGUACGACCGCAAGGUUGAAACUCAAAGGAAUUGACGGGGGCCCGCACAAGCGGUGGAGCAUGUGGUUUAAUUCGAAGCAACGCGAAGAACCUUACCAGGUCUUGACAUCCCGAUGCUAUUUCUAGAGAUAGAAAGUUACUUCGGUACAUCGGUGACAGGUGGUGCAUGGUUGUCGUCAGCUCGUGUCGUGAGAUGUUGGGUUAAGUCCCGCAACGAGCGCAACCCCUAUUGUUAGUUGCCAUCAUUCAGUUGGGCACUCUAGCGAGACUGCCGGUAAUAAACCGGAGGAAGGUGGGGAUGACGUCAAAUCAUCAUGCCCCUUAUGACCUGGGCUACACACGUGCUACAAUGGUUGGUACAACGAGUUGCGAGUCGGUGACGGCAAGCUAAUCUCUUAAAGCCAAUCUCAGUUCGGAUUGUAGGCUGCAACUCGCCUACAUGAAGUCGGAAUCGCUAGUAAUCGCGGACCAGCACGCCGCGGUGAAUACGUUCCCGGGCCU